CCUACGGGGGGCUGCAGUGGGGAAUAUUGGACAAUGGGGGGAACCCUGAUCCAGCCAUGCCGCGUGUGUGAAGAAGGCCCUCGGGUUGUAAAGCACUUUCAGUGAGGAAGAACGCCUGGUGGUUAAUACCCAUCAGGAAAGACAUCACUCACAGAAGAAGCACCGGCUAACUCCGUGCCAGCAGCCGCGGUAAUACGGAGGGUGCGAGCGUUAAUCGGAAUUACUGGGCGUAAAGCGCGCGUAGGUGGCUUGAUAAGCCGGUUGUGAAAGCCCCGGGCUCAACCUGGGAACGGCAUCCGGAACUGUCAAGCUAGAGUGCAGGAGAGGAAGGUAGAAUUCCCGGUGUAGCGGUGAAAUGCGUAGAGAUCGGGAGGAAUACCAGUGGCGAAGGCGGCCUUCCGGACUGACACUGACACUGAGGUGCGAAAGCGUGGGUAGCAAACAGGAUUAGAUACCCUUGUAGUC
RNAcentral lists this ribosomal RNA (465 nucleotides) under Vreelandella stevensii. Its description in RNAcentral is "partial 16S ribosomal RNA". It matches the Rfam family "Bacterial small subunit ribosomal RNA", at positions 338 to 795 of the family's 1533-position model. The record is from RNAcentral. Lineage: Bacteria; Pseudomonadati; Pseudomonadota; Gammaproteobacteria; Oceanospirillales; Halomonadaceae.